Molecule: unclassified non-coding RNA, 374 nt
Filed under: soil metagenome
Description: partial internal transcribed spacer 1
Rfam family: 5.8S ribosomal RNA (bases 1-120)
Source: RNAcentral
GAUGAAGAACGCAGCGAAAUGCGAUAAUUAAUGUGAAUUGCAGAAUUCCGUGAAUCAUCGAGUCUUUGAACGCACAUUGCGCCUCAUGGCAUUCCGUGAGGCAUGCCCAUCUCAGCGUUAGAAAAUAUUCUCAAAUUUUAGUUUUGUGCUAAAAUUUGGAUCAUGUCAAGGAAGCUAUUACUAUUAUUGUGAUCGCUCUUUGGAAAUUGAUAGGUCUUUGAGUUGCUACUCAUAGAACGUGAUGAAUCUUUCUUCGUUCUAUUGUAAUUCACUCUGGUAGUCCUAAAACUUGUAUGCCUGUGGCAUAUCUUGUAAUUUGACCUGAGAUUGGGUAGGGAUACCCGCUGUACUUAAACAUAUCAAUAAGCGGAGGA